Ficedula albicollis (Collared flycatcher) is the source of this 501-nucleotide long non-coding RNA. RefSeq lists it as uncharacterized. Lineage: Eukaryota; Metazoa; Chordata; Aves; Passeriformes; Muscicapidae. The transcript has 3 exons. The record is from RefSeq and is a predicted model, not a curated record.
CUACAGGGAGGGAGUCGUGUAGAACAUAAAUAGGACACCUCUAGAAAAAUAACUUAAUGGGGAUGCAGUCCUGUGCUUCCUGUUUACUGAUCCUUAACUUAGAGAUUUCUGGAACAGGAUUCUGCACUAAUGGGUAGAACUAGGUAGCCAACACCCUUGGCUGUGUGGAUCUUGGCUGAGAUGGUGAGGAGUGCUGCAACCCAAGUGUGAUUCCACCGCCAGCUCCAUCAAUGCUUCAUACUGAGAAUGGCUCCCAUCCACCCCACAGAACCAAGUGUUGCUCACUGGAAUUCACCUUGCUGAAGAGCACGACUUUUCAAGGCUCCUGGACUGCUGCACAAACACAGGCUGCUUGUGUUGUUUUGGCUAACAGCUCAAGUAUCCUAGCAAGUCCUACUUAAUAAGAUACCUGAUAAGGCUUGAUUGUGCUUCACUAUGUUUGAAUUUCUUGGGGAGCUGUUUAGAUGAUGAAAGUGCUCCAGUGCCUGCAUUUGUGUAAAA